AGAUUGCAGGCUGCAACUCGCCUGCAUGAAGUCGGAAUUGCUAGUAAUCGCAGAUCAGCAUGCUGCGGUGAAUGCGUUCCCGGGUCUUGUACACACCGCCCGUCACACCACGGAAGUUGGGGGCGCCCGAAGCCACUUAGCUAACCCUUUUGGGAAGCGAGUGUCGAAGGUGAAAUCAAUAACUGGGGUGAAGUCGUAACAAGGUACC
Molecule: ribosomal RNA, 208 nt
Filed under: uncultured bacterium
Lineage: Bacteria
Description: partial 16S ribosomal RNA
Rfam family: Bacterial small subunit ribosomal RNA
Source: RNAcentral